UUUUAUUUACGAAUAUGCUAUUGGCACCGGGUACCAAUAGUCUCUUUAUAAUAAUGUGGCUAAUGGCACCGGGUGCCAAUAGUCUCUUUAUUAUACUGUGGCUAAUGGCACCGGGUGCCAAUAGUCUCUUUAUUAUACUAAUGCUAAUCGCACCCGGUGCCAUUAGCCACAGUAUUAUAAAGAGACUAUUGGCACCCGGAAAAAUUAAAAUUAAAUAAAAAAUCUGGAUAUUUUGAAAAUUAGACUGGUUUUGUACACAAUCCUAGGGAAUCCAUCUUUUUACGAAAUGUAACGUAAAGGCGGAUUGUUCGAUCCU
Molecule: long non-coding RNA, 316 nt
Organism: Bradysia coprophila
Lineage: Eukaryota; Metazoa; Arthropoda; Insecta; Diptera; Sciaridae
Source: RefSeq, a predicted model, not a curated record